Molecule: ribosomal RNA, 468 nt
Filed under: uncultured bacterium
Lineage: Bacteria
Description: partial 16S ribosomal RNA
Rfam family: Bacterial small subunit ribosomal RNA
Source: RNAcentral
GAUGAACGCUGGCGGCGUGCUUAACACAUGCAAGUCGAACGGAAAGGCCCAAGCUUGCUUGGGUACUCGAGUGGCGAACGGGUGAGUAACACGUGGGUGAUCUGCCCUGCACUUCGGGAUAAGCCUGCGAAACUGGGUCUAAUACCGGAUAGGACGAUGGUUUGGAUGCCAUUGUGGAAAGUUUUUUCGGUGUGGGAUGAGCUCGCGGCCUAUCAGCUUGUUGGUGGGGUAAUGGCCUACCAAGGCGUCGACGGGUAGCCGGCCUGAGAGGGUGUACGGCCACAUUGGGACUGAGAUACGGCCCAGACUCCUACGGGAGGCAGCAGUGGGGAAUAUUGCACAAUGGGCGCAAGCCUGAUGCAGCGACGCCGCGUGGGGGAUGACGGCCUUCGGGUUGUAAACUCCUUUCGCUAGGGACGAAGCGUUUUUGUGACGGUACCUGGAGAAGAAGCACCGGCUAACUACGUG